Molecule: non-coding RNA, 229 nt
Organism: Paramuricea clavata
Lineage: Eukaryota; Metazoa; Cnidaria; Anthozoa; Malacalcyonacea; Plexauridae
Source: the annotation of a GenBank genome assembly
UUGAAUGGUUACGGCUAAGACAUUCAACGACAUAACCAUCCAAGUUGAAUGGUUAUGCCGAGGGCAUUCAACGGCAAAAUCAUCCAAAUUGAAUGGUUAUGCCGAAGACAGUCAACGGCAUAACCAUCCAAGUUGAGUGGUUAUGCCGAAGACAUUCAACGGCAUAACCAUCCAAUAUUCAAAGGCGUUACCAUCCAACUACAUAACCAUCCAAUGGUUACAGUGGCGG